UUUGCCUACGGGGGGCAGCAGUAGGGAAUCUUCCACAAUGGGCGAAAGUCUGAUGGAGCAACGCCGCGUGGGUGAAGAAGGUCUUCGGAUCGUAAAAACCUGUUGUUAGAGAAGAAAGUGCGUGAGAGUAACUGUUCACGUUUCGACGGUAUCUAACCAGAAAGCCACGGCUAACUACGUGCCAGCAGCCGCGAUAAUACGUAGGUGGCAAGCGUUAUCCGGAUUUAUUGGGCGUAAAGUGAACGCUGGCGGGCUUU
RNAcentral lists this ribosomal RNA (257 nucleotides) under uncultured bacterium. Its description in RNAcentral is "partial 16S ribosomal RNA". It matches the Rfam family "Bacterial small subunit ribosomal RNA", at positions 334 to 583 of the family's 1533-position model. The record is from RNAcentral.